UGGGGCUGGCUCGGGCAGGUUUGUCUACCUUGAUCCAGACUUCACGGUGAAGAUUGAGGAGGUUGUUGCUGGGGCACCUCCUGCUUCAGAUUUGGUUGCUACAUGGUGUUGACCACUGCAAUCAACGUCCGCACCUGAACUAUCAGAAUAUUAAAUUGGUCUUGAUUUACCCCCGCAACCAGCGAAGGGGGUUGUGGAGGUGCCUCCGACGGUUGAGCUGGAGCAUGGUUCUCGAUUGGGUUUUCAGCCGAUCAGUAUGCUGCGGCACUCGAAUGCCUUGGGC
This 283-nucleotide long non-coding RNA is filed under the name Elaeis guineensis (African oil palm). RNAcentral describes it as "long non-coding RNA (EGUI_LNC009494)". The record is from RNAcentral. Lineage: Eukaryota; Viridiplantae; Streptophyta; Magnoliopsida; Arecales; Arecaceae.